GUCUUAGAGUAUGUGGUAAUGCUGUUCAAGUUCCACAUUUCAGAGAUGGGUGAUUGAUACAGCAACAUGAGUACCACCGGAUUCAUUUACCAGUUAAGACGAAACGGCGGCAAUGACAUAGUGUAUUAUGAAGGCAGAAGCUUCCGAAGAAGCCAUGAGGAUGCCAUGCAGGCAGGUUUACAGCGUGCAAGAAGAAUGUUCCAUCAAGACGAGAAUCAUCAAACACCCAACUAUUCAGUAACUGUGUGUGAAAUUCACAUCAACAGGAGACAAAUAACCAAUCGCUUACAGCUGCGUCGAAACAAAAGACUUUUCGUAGGCGUCUUGGAAACUCACUAUCUCAAUGAACUCCAGAGACUUGUUCGGAAGUUAUGUUGUGAUAAUUGUUAUGGAUGUGAAGUUAAUCAUCCAUCGCAAGUACAUCACCAGUGUCUCAUGAUGAACAGUGACGAGUGUAUUACUCAAUACUUUGAUCGUGCAGUGAAUGAGCUUCCCCUUCAUACCAUCUUGGAAAAAGCCAAGCAACAGAGGGUAAGCCUUGGGCUAGAGUUUCAGGACCAGCACACUGUGCAUUACAAUGACUCGGAUUAUAUGCAUAGUCAUUUCUUCUGCAAUGACAGAAAAGAAAGACUUGAGAUGCAGCUCAGAGUCCUCAUGAACAUGGAAGAUAGUAAUAACUAAAAGUCGCAUGUGUUAGCAUUAUUUUAUUGCUUUACAAUCUGAAAGUUACAUAGAAUACAUGUCAUGAAUUCAAUGUACAUGUACAGUUAGAAAGACUCUAGUUUUCUUAAUUUUGCAGUAGUGUUAGCACCGGGUACACCAUGUUGUGCUUGUCGUUUUAGAUAUAAAGAUGAUUUUGCCUU
This is a long non-coding RNA of Haliotis rufescens (red abalone), 863 nucleotides long. RefSeq lists it as uncharacterized. The transcript is spliced from 2 exons. The record is from RefSeq and is a predicted model, not a curated record. Lineage: Eukaryota; Metazoa; Mollusca; Gastropoda; Lepetellida; Haliotidae.